GGGUCAUUAGGUUGGUCGUGCCACCGGUACGUACUGGUCUCACUGAUUCCUCCUUCCUGAAGAACCGUAAUGCCAUUAAUUUGGUGUUGCGGGGAAACAGGACUGUUACUUUGAAAAAAUUAGAGUGUUUAAAGCAAGCUAACGCUUGAAUACAUUAGCAUGGAACAAUGAAAUAGGACGAUCGAUCCUAUUUUGUUGGUUUCUAGGAUUGACGUA
Molecule: ribosomal RNA, 216 nt
Filed under: Glomeromycotina sp.
Lineage: Eukaryota; Fungi; Glomeromycota
Description: partial small subunit ribosomal RNA
Rfam family: Eukaryotic small subunit ribosomal RNA (bases 40-216)
Source: RNAcentral